RNAcentral lists this ribosomal RNA (900 nucleotides) under Pseudarthrobacter oxydans. Its description in RNAcentral is "bacterial SSU rRNA". It matches the Rfam family "Bacterial small subunit ribosomal RNA", at positions 434 to 1346 of the family's 1533-position model. The record is from RNAcentral. Lineage: Bacteria; Bacillati; Actinomycetota; Actinomycetes; Micrococcales; Micrococcaceae.
UUNNAGUAGGGAAGAAGCGAAAGUGACGGUACCUGCAGAAGAAGCGCCGGCUAACUACGUGCCAGCAGCCGCGGUAAUACGUAGGGCGCAAGCGUUAUCCGGAAUUAUUGGGCGUAAAGAGCUCGUAGGCGGUUUGUCGCGUCUGCCGUGAAAGUCCGGGGCUCAACUCCGGAUCUGCGGUGGGUACGGGCAGACUAGAGUGAUGUAGGGGAGACUGGAAUUCCUGGUGUAGCGGUGAAAUGCGCAGAUAUCAGGAGGAACACCGAUGGCGAAGGCAGGUCUCUGGGCAUUAACUGACGCUGAGGAGCGAAAGCAUGGGGAGCGAACAGGAUUAGAUACCCUGGUAGUCCAUGCCGUAAACGUUGGGCACUAGGUGUGGGGGACAUUCCACGUUUUCCGCGCCGUAGCUAACGCAUUAAGUGCCCGCCUGGGGAGUACGGCCGCAAGGCUAAAACUCAAAGGAAUUGACGGGGGCCCGCACAAGCGGCGGAGCAUGCGGAUUAAUUCGAUGCAACGCGAAGAACCUUACCAAGGCUUGACAUGAACCGGUAAUACCUGGAGACAGGUGCCCCGCUUGCGGUCGGUUUACAGGUGGUGCAUGGUUGUCGUCAGCUCGUGUCGUGAGAUGUUGGGUUAAGUCCCGCAACGAGCGCAACCCUCGUUCUAUGUUGCCAGCACGUGAUGGUGGGGACUCAUAGGAGACUGCCGGGGUCAACUCGGAGGAAGGUGGGGACGACGUCAAAUCAUCAUGCCCCUUAUGUCUUGGGCUUCACGCAUGCUACAAUGGCCGGUACAAAGGGUUGCGAUACUGUGAGGUGGAGCUAAUCCCAAAAAGCCGGUCUCAGUUCGGAUUGGGGUCUGCAACUCGACCCCAUGAAGUCGGAGUCGCUAGUAANNNCA